UAUUAGUACUCCGUAGUCCGUACCAUAAUGUAAACAUUAUGAAACCUUUGUUUUUUUGGUUAAAAUGAAACUUUUGUUUCUGUUUUGCGAGACCCAAAGACAAAAAACAAGCUAUACAAUUGUAGCAGAUGAUGACAACACAAAUAUGGGCAAUAUCCAUUGAAAUCUUCUGGCCUUAAUGAUGGGAUCUAGCUAAUGGAGCUUUUUACAUCACAUUAAAUUCAAUGUAAGUGAGGUCGCCAUUUGUCACCUUUCGGAAAUUUAUGGUUUGCAGAUGAAGGACUUGGUAAUUGACUUGAAAUCACUGUGAAAACUCUUCAUUAUCUCCAUAAUAGACAAUGAUUUUCAACCUUUUGAGACGACGUUAUCUUUGUGGUCGGUCAACGUCAGAAAGUUGGGCAUUUGAGCAUUUUUUAAGAAGCCGUACCUGCCAAAACCAACAGUGAAUCAUUGGCAUGUACCACCCUUGCCCCCAUGGACCAUCCCCCCCUUUCCCCGGUAUGUGCAUAGCAUAAAAGUAAGUAAAAAACUUUUGAGUAUUAGUACUCCCUCUCUUUCUCUAGGCCACAUGACUUAUUUAAGCCAUUAACAAAGAAAUUCAAAGAAAGAGUACAUAGGCAUGGUGAAAGUUUAAACACUUUAACAGUGAAAUUCAAAUCCAUGAAUAUACAUGCCAUUGUCUGGAUUUAUGUAACAAUUUUCUGAUCCCUGCUUAAAUUACAAUAUCCCAAUUGCU
Long non-coding RNA from Spinacia oleracea (spinach), 736 nucleotides. RefSeq lists it as uncharacterized. NCBI's taxonomy places the organism in Eukaryota, Viridiplantae, Streptophyta, Magnoliopsida, Caryophyllales, Amaranthaceae. The record is from RefSeq and is a predicted model, not a curated record. The transcript has 3 exons.